Molecule: ribosomal RNA, 472 nt
Filed under: uncultured bacterium
Lineage: Bacteria
Description: SSU rRNA
Rfam family: Bacterial small subunit ribosomal RNA
Source: RNAcentral
AGGAUGAACGCUGGCGGCGUGCCUAACACAUGCAAGUCGAACGUCCUGUCUCGCAAGAGGCAGGGAGUGGCGGACGGGUGAGUACCACGUGGGUCAUCUACCGUGAGGUGAGGAAUACCGGCGAGAAAUCGCCGACAAGACCGCAUAGGCUCGAUGCAAGUCGAGCAAAGCUCUUUCGAGAGAGGGAGCGCCACACGAGGAGCCUGCGCCCGAUUAGCUAGCUGGUGGAGUAACGGUUCACCAGGGCGACGAUUGGUAGCUGGUCUGAGAGGACGAUCAGCCACACUGGGAUUGAGAACGGCCCAGACUCCUACGGGGGGCAGCAGUGAGGAAUUUCGUCAAUGGGGGCAACCCUGAACGAGCAACGCCGCGUGCAGGAAGAAGGUUUCGGAUCGUAAACUGCUUUUCUCGGGAAGAGAACGGACGGUACCCGAGGAAUCAGCCCGGCUAACUACGUGCCAGCAGCCGCGGU